AUGUGUCAGUUCCAUUUAACCAAUACUCUCUCGAGCAUUAUGAAAAUCCUGCUUCAUAUUAUAUCUAAUUCGAUGGGUCUACUUUGUGUGUCUUGGGGAGCCAUAUCUAAAUUCCAUGCUCUCAGAGAAGACAGAGCAGUGUUAGGAAACUUCUGUGGUAGAACACCUCUCUUGUUUGCAACAUACCACAAUGGGGGUACUGCCGAAUAUCUUCUUGAUCAUGGCGCUAAUCAAGACAAAGCUGAUCACGAUGGGUCUUCCCUGUUACAUUAUGCCGCUGAAUUAGGCAAUUGUGAAAUGGUAGAGCUUUUGCUUGCAAAAGGAGCUUAUGUUGACCCGGUAUCUGCUUAUGGAACACCACUUCAUGUUGCUGCUGGUAAAGGGCAUUAUGGUGCUAUGAAGAUUUUACUGGACCACAAUGCAGAUUACAACAAGAUGGUAAAUGGCGUGACACCUCUUAUUGUUGCUACAGAUGCCAAGUCAAUGAAAUGUAUCAAGCUCCUAGUUAAGGCUGGUGCCAAUCUCAAGGAAGCUGCAGCAUAUACAACUCUCCACGCGGAAAAAGUGGUUUCAGAUUACUUUCUCAAUUGCAUAAUGGAGGACGUUGAUGCCAACCGUGAUGUUCCUUUUUAUCAGGGGCCUAUGCUUAAACGGGAAAUCGUGACAUCAGGGCUUAUAUCACGAGGGAGCAACUCUUUAAAGAACAAGGAUUAUGUUGUCGCAGCAAAAUUGUACAGUAAGGCAAUGGUGCUUGAUCCUGAUGAUGCAGUCUUGUUCUCAGACAGGAGCCUUUGUUGGCUUCAACUGGGUGAUGGAAAAAAGGCUUUGCUAGAUGCUAAUAGAUGCAGAAAAAUGCGGCCUCACUGGCCAAAAGCUUGUCACCGGCAGGGUGAAGCUCGGAUGCUACUGAAGGACUACGAGGGCGCAAGUGAACAGUUCUUGGAUGGACUCAAGCUGGACCCAGUGGACACUGAUAUCGAGGCUGCAUUACGGGAAGCUAUGAAGUCCCUGAAGACGUCUCGGAGCAUGAAAGCCAAUUGA
This 1041-nucleotide ribosomal RNA is filed under the name Triticum aestivum (bread wheat). Its description in RNAcentral is "partial small subunit ribosomal RNA". The record is from RNAcentral. Lineage: Eukaryota; Viridiplantae; Streptophyta; Magnoliopsida; Poales; Poaceae.